AGAGUUUGAUCCUGGCUCAGGAUGAACGCUGGCGGCAUGCCUAACACAUGCAAGUCGAACGGGGUUUAUAUGACGGAACUCUCCGGAGGGAAGAUAUAUAAACCUAGUGGCGGACGGGUGAGUAACGCGUGGGCAACCUGCCCUGUACCGGGGGACAACAGCCAGAAAUGGCUGCUAAUACCGCAUAAGCCUGCUGUGCCGCAUGGCACAGCAGGGAAAACCACGGUGGUACAGGAUGGACCCGCGUCUGAUUAGCCAGUUGGCAGGGUAACGGCCUACCAAAGCGACGAUCAGUAGCCGGCCUGAGAGGGUGAACGGCCACAUUGGGACUGAGACACGGCCCAGACUCCUGCGGGAGGCAGCAGUGGGGAAUAUUGCACAAUGGGGGAAACCCUGAUGCAGCGACGCCGCGUGAGUGAAGAAGUAUUUCGGUAUGUAAAGCUCUAUCAGCAGGGAAGAAAAUGACGGUACCUGAUUAAGAAGCCCCGGCUAACUACGUGCCAGCAGCCGCGGUAAUACGUAGGGGGCAAGCGUUAUCCGGAUUUACUGGGUGUAAAGGGAGCGUAGACGGUGAUGCAAGUCAGAAGUGAAAGCCCGGGGCUCAACUCCGGGACUGCUUUUGAAACUGUGUGACUGGAGUGCAGGAGAGGUAAGCGGAAUUCCUGGUGUAGCGGUGAAAUGCGUAGAUAUCAGGAGGAACACCAGUGGCGAAGGCGGCUUACUGGACUGUAACUGACGUUGAGGCUCGAAAGCGUGGGGAGCAAACAGAAUUAGAUACCCUGGUAGUCCACGCCGUAAACG
Molecule: ribosomal RNA, 801 nt
Filed under: uncultured bacterium
Lineage: Bacteria
Description: bacterial SSU rRNA
Rfam family: Bacterial small subunit ribosomal RNA
Source: RNAcentral